GAGUGUAUGUGUAAGAGAGAGAGAGAAAGAGAGGGAGUGAGAGAACGCGGAGUUUUGUUCACUUUCAUCCCCCGGUUGGCAGCAGGACCGUGCGCCUCUCUCUCUCUGUCUCCCCGCUCUCUGUGAGUCUUUCGCCGCAUGGAUUUUUGAUCUCGCCCGCUGCUCUCCUGGAGGGUCUCUCUCCGGCUCGGUUCACAUGGGACUUGUUGUUCCUGUUUUUUUCUGGAACAAAAGCCGCUCUCCGUGCCCCAUGUUCGGCUCCAGGGCUCCGUAGCUGAGGGCUCUUCGCCAUGGCCGAGCCGGGAGCAGUUUCCGACGCUUUGGCGGCUCCGCUGCUCGAGUUUAGCGCCGAGGCUGCGUCUCCCGGCCGGGAUGCGGCUCGGCGGGGCUUCCCGGGCCACGGCGCCGAGGGGCUCUUCUCCAACGGCGGCUGCAGGGAGCUCAGCAGCCCUGCGGUGGGCAGCCGGGGUCGAGACGCGUCCGCCGAAAGGAACCAGCCUAGCGGGAACCCACCCUGCGGGAUUAUGAAGGUGCUCUUUAAUGAGGAGAAAUAGCGUCAUCUACUCACCCAGAAAGAGCAAGGGCAACUGUGCUCUCUCAGGGCUCCGGCAGCUGAUGGCAAGCUGCAUGACCGGGAUUUGAACCAGCGAUCUCCCGAUCAUAGUGGCAGCGCUUUAGACUGCUGGACUACUUGAGAGAGGCCAAAUCCAACAUCCUUGAAAUGAAGACAAAUGAAAUGAACAAUGCUCACAGACCUAUCAGUCACGUUUGAGGGGGUGGGCAUUACAUUUUCAGAGCACUUAGUCAGACACACCAAAAAAUCGAUGUACACCAGAGUUGAAGCUUCAACAACUGCCAAAGAUUUUCACACCCAUUUGUCAGACAGAAAGAGAGCUGAGGCUGUCGCCGCUUUGUUAGAAAAAAAUGAAUAAUUUAAGAGAUUGAUGUGCUGAUGCUCGUCCAAGCUUCUGGCCAGCAGUGAAAGGCUCGGUCCGAUACAUUUCUGAUCAGAUCAGGGCGCUCCGGAGAUGGGUCAUGAUUGCUGCAUGGCACUGUGACAGAAAGCCAGUCAUUACUGACAAUGAGACAGCAGGAGAAAAAGAGAGAGAGAGAGAGAGAGAGAGAGAGAGAAUGAACAAACACACAAACAUGAAAUAAACAGGGCGUCUGAAGAGGUUGACCA
Molecule: long non-coding RNA, 1183 nt
Filed under: Astyanax mexicanus (Mexican tetra)
Lineage: Eukaryota; Metazoa; Chordata; Actinopteri; Characiformes; Acestrorhamphidae
Description: lncRNA (ENSAMXG00005022790.1)
Source: RNAcentral